AUACGUAGGUGGCAAGCGUUGUCCGGAUUUAUUGGGCGUAAAGCGCGCGCAGGCGGUUCUUUAAGUCUGAUGUGAAAGCCCCCGGCUCAACCGGGGAGGGUCAUUGGAAACUGGGGAACUUGAGUACAGAAGAGGAAAGUGGAAUUCCACGUGUAGCGGUGAAAUGCGUAGAGACGUGGAGGAACACCAGUGGCGAAGGCGACUUUCUGGUCUGUAACUGACGCUGAGGCGCGAAAGCGUGGGGAGCAAACAGGAUUAGAUACCCUGGUAGUCCACGCCGUAAACGAUGAGUGCUAAGUGUUGGAGGGUUUCCGCCCUUCAGUGCUGCAGCUAACGCAUUAAGCACUCCGCCUGGGGAGUACGGUCGCAAGACUGAA
This 377-nucleotide ribosomal RNA is filed under the name uncultured bacterium. RNAcentral's name for it is "bacterial SSU rRNA". It matches the Rfam family "Bacterial small subunit ribosomal RNA", at positions 523 to 898 of the family's 1533-position model. The record is from RNAcentral.